GGGACACGUGGUAUCCUGUCUGAAUAUGGGGGGACCAUCCUCCAAGGCUAAAUACUCCUGACUGACCGAUAGUGAACCAGUACCGUGAGGGAAAGGCGAAAAGAACCCCGGCGAGGGGAGUGAAAAAGAACCUGAAACCGUGUACGUACAAGCAGUGGGAGCCUCUUUUAUGGGGUGACUGCGUACCUUUUGUAUAAUGGGUCAGCGACUUAUAUUCUGUAGCAAGGUUAACCGAAUAGGGGAGCCGAAGGGAAACCGAGUCUUAACUGGGCGUUAAGUUGCAGGGUAUAGACCCGAAACCCGGUGAUCUAGCCAUGGGCAGGUUGAAGGUUGGGUAACACUAACUGGAGGACCGAACCGACUAAUGUUGAAAAAUUAGCGGAUGACUUGUGGCUGGGGGUGAAAGGCCAAUCAAACCGGGAGAUAGCUGGUUCUCCCCGAAAGCUAUUUAGGUAGCGCCUCGUGAAUUCAUCUCCGGGGGUAGAGCACUGUUUCGGCAAGGGGGUCAUCCCGACUUACCAACCCGAUGCAAACUGCGAAUACCGGAGAAUGUUAUCACGGGAGACACACGG
RNAcentral lists this ribosomal RNA (572 nucleotides) under Escherichia coli. RNAcentral describes it as "partial 23S ribosomal RNA". It matches the Rfam family "Bacterial large subunit ribosomal RNA", at positions 419 to 991 of the family's 2925-position model. The record is from RNAcentral. Lineage: Bacteria; Pseudomonadati; Pseudomonadota; Gammaproteobacteria; Enterobacterales; Enterobacteriaceae.